GUCUAUUUUCUAGGCUGGUCAUAUUUACAAUUGAAGUAUUUGAGACUUUAUUCUAUUUUUUUUUUAAUUUUGGAUUUUGUUUUAUUGUUUCUUGCUUAUGGUUUCAUUAACUUCUAUCAGUCCAAUUCUAAUUUUAAGGAGUUUUCUUCCUUGAGUUCUUGGGUUUCCUUUUCCACUUGACUGUCUUUUCUUUAAAGGGUUGUUUCCUUCAGGUUCUGUUUUGUUUGUUUUGGUUUGGGAUUUGUUUUUUUGUUUUGUUUGUUUGGUUGUUGUUGUUGUUGUUGUUUGGUCUCUAUUCCCAUUUGGUGGAUUCAAUUAAUUAGGAAGUUUUUUUCUUCAAUGAUUUUUUCCCCCAGCUGUUGAGUUUUUCAAUUAAUUCCCUUAUAUUUUUUAACUUCUUCCAGGGAUUCUUUUUAAGAUCUAAACUCCUUGCCCACUUUCUUUUGAGGCUUCACAUGUUUCCUUUAUGGCAUUGUUGUCCUCUUCUGAGCCCAUAUAUUGAUCUUCCUUGUCACUAAAGUACAUUUCCCAGGUCAGUUUUUUCUUUUUUUACUUGUUUUUCCAUUUUUUUCUUUCCUUUGUAACCAUAUUUAUCUUUUGAGAUCCUUCUCUGUUCCUGGAGUAAAAGGGUAUAUUGUUCUAAGAUUACAGAGUACUCUUCUCUGGUAUUUGGUGUAGGACUAGCUGCCCUUGUUCCUCGUGGUUUGUCUGUCAAGGAGACAGCAGUACUGGCAUGUUCUGGGGAGGUUGUCAACUGUUUCAUCCAAUUAUAUUUAGCAUAAUGACUUACCAGUUCCCCCAUUGUUUUGUGGGUUAGUCUGGUCCCCACUAUGUUGCUUCACUGCCCCUACCAAGUAGCCUGGGUGGAGAAGGCUCCCUGUUUUGAUUUCUACUGCCCCAGGCUUUCCCCCACCACAUCAUGCAAUUUUUGUCUUCAUGCAAAAUCUGAAUAAAAGUGAAGAGGGCAGUUCUAAAGAGAGGAAGCUGCUGAGGUAUCUAUACACAUAAAUGUACAUAUACACAUAUGUACACAUAUAUACAUCCAUAUAUACAUAUACAUAUACAUAUCUAUAUGUCUGUACGUAUAUGCAUGUGUGAGCAUAGAAUGCCUUCCGCAUUUUAAAGAUUUUUUUCAUAGACAUUGAAAAUGUUUUUUUUCACCAAGAACUCCUUGACAGCAGAGAUUGACUUUUUUGUCUUUUUCUGUAUCCUUGGUGCUGUACCUGGAACACUUGAGGCACUUACUAAUGAUUGUUGACUUAUUCAAAACCUAGGAUUUGUUUUUUUAAGAUAUAUUAUCUAUAAAAAGAAGAAUGUGCAUUUUUCAAAGACUUUCAAGUUUUUGAACUAUAACACUCAAGGAUGAGAUAGAACACUUUAUUAUCCCUAUUACUACAAGAGGAAACUAAGAAUCAGAGAUGAUGAUUACCUUUGGCUUAUAUGUU
RNAcentral lists this long non-coding RNA (1445 nucleotides) under Monodelphis domestica (gray short-tailed opossum). RNAcentral's name for it is "lncRNA (ENSMODG00000049386.1)". The record is from RNAcentral. Lineage: Eukaryota; Metazoa; Chordata; Mammalia; Didelphimorphia; Didelphidae.